RNAcentral lists this long non-coding RNA (3152 nucleotides) under Solanum tuberosum (potato). RNAcentral describes it as "long non-coding RNA (STUB_LNC009495)". Lineage: Eukaryota; Viridiplantae; Streptophyta; Magnoliopsida; Solanales; Solanaceae. The record is from RNAcentral.
CAUAGUAAAACCUAAAAGGGCAUAUUAAUAUAAGAAAUAACACAAUAUUUCAAUACAAAAAUAUAUCAAAGUGUACUAUAGUUUUACAAACUAAAUUGAAAUGUCAUUCACUUCAACCAUUACGAUUACAAGAAACUUCAAAUCUUGCUUGAACUUCAAAUCACUACAAAAACUUGCUUAAACUUCAAAUCACUAGCAUCCAAACUCAAGAUAGGAUCUGCAACAGUUCAUGAAACUCAGCGGAUUUCACUACGAUAUCACCUGGCUGCAAAGAGAAAUACACAAUAAGCGACUUCAUCCAAACUCAAAACAUGGAUGAAUAUAGCAUACUUGAUGAAUUUAGUACUACCAGCCAGUUAAGUUAUAUGGUGGAAUAAGACAUGUUAGUUGACAAGAAUAUAUUACAACAAUAACAACAUAAUACACAGUGAAAUUUCACAAGCGGGUUUGGGAAAGGUAGAAUAUACGCACAAGUAAUGACUUAUCCCCAGUUACGCUUGUCAGGGAGCAAAAGGAAAACAAUUACUAUUGUUUAUGUCCAGCCAAAUAAUACAACUUACAGAGUUAAGAGCCUGCUCAAGAAAUACAUCAGUAGCUACCUUUUUGUGUAACUCAAACCAAUUGGGUCUGCGAUGGCCACAAGCCACUACUCCCCUGUACUAAUUUUACUUUUUAAUGAAAUGCUUCAUAUUUCCUUACCAAAAAAAAAGUAACAACAAAUGGGUCCUAGUUAGAUAAAGUCUAAAGAUUAAUUCAUUGGGAAAAGAAAUUAAUUAGUAAUAUCUAUAUGGCUAGAUCUCACAUUAGUUGUACACUGAAAUGUACCUCUAAUCCUUAAUUCUUUGAAGUAUCAAAGUUCCAGAGAAAAAGAUUUUACUUACCAAUGCCAACCACCUUGCUAUGCCUAUAUAACAUAAUUAUAGGUGCAGUAAGUUCUCAAGACAAUGUAAAAUAUUCAUUAAACAACACCAACAACUAUAUAAAAGCUAUAACUUGAAAUGUAAAAGUCCAACUAGUGAAUUAGAAAAUACCAGUUACUAUUCAGAUGAUCAAUUAUAAUUUUUUGAAAAGGCACAAUUACUAAAAAUAAUGUGACCUCUCAAAACUGAACAUGAGUCUAAUGAUGCUUAGGAUUGGGUCUGUUGGGAGAAAUUGAAUUUUGCUUGCAAAAAGAGUCCACUGGCCAUCCAAGAUGUAAUCUUGGCAAUAAUCUUGUCCACUAAGGGUUUAAUUGGACUAUUGUAAGCCUUUUAGGUGUCGUUUAAUACAAAGAUUAAUAAUGUAGGGAUUAGUAAUGCAAGGUUCCUUAGUAAAAUUGUUUGGCACACCUAGAUAUUUGAAACAGAGUUCUCCAACCUCAUAUCCAAGCAUAGUCAAGAUGGUUUCCUUAGUAAAUUUGUUAAUACCUUCAAAACAUACCUGACUUUUCAAAAUGAUGGUCUUCAAAUCAGAAGCAUCAGAAAACAUAUUGAAUUUACCCCUCGAUAGUUGUAGUUGUAUAGAUCUGACAUCUCAUCUAGUAAAUAUAGUAAGUCAACAGCAACAAAGUACUGAUUCAAAACUGAUGUCAACAUCUAGAUGGAAAAAAAUGUUUCAUCAAACUUUCUUAGUUGUAAAUCAGCACAACUACAAAGAAAAAAGACAUUCUUGCAACUCUUCCAAAUCUGUUUGGGUUAAAGGAAUUUUGCAUUUAACUAUCAUUCCAUCUUCACUAACUAUCUAAAGGACAAAAUCAAAUAAAAAAAUACAAUAAACUCACAAGAUUUGUAGAGCGUCGCAGAACUUGAGCGAGUUGUGCAUGACUGCUUAUAAGAGCUUUUAUCUUCUUCAACAAUGCAGCCACAAAUAUUGACACUAUAGCACGAAAAAAUAGUGCAAACUGUCUUAAAGAAAGAUCUCAUCAGAAAAAUGAGAACCAAAUUUAAAAAGAAUAGCUGAAAAGUAGAUGAAACUUACGGAAAUAGCUGGGAAUAUAGACGAAAUCAGGUUCAGUAAUGUGGGAGGAGAUAGUGGUGGGAGUGACGUCUUUGGGAUCGGUGGCAAAAGGGAUGGUUGGGUUUGGGGACAAUUCCAGUUGUUGGGGAUGAUCGUAACAUGUAUACUCAAUAUACUCGAUAUGGUUAGUCAAUCGAUAAAGUGAAACAACCUUAUGGUGCUACUUCUAAUCCUACACAGGCUGAUGACGCGACAAGAAAGAACAGUUCAUCAUCAAACAAGUUGAAAACACCACAUUUCUCCAAUAUCACCACCUUAUAACAUAGAAACAAAUAUCAUAUCUCUCAAAUUUACCAGAUUCACUUACAACUAACAAAAAUCAAUUAAGAAGUUAAUCUAUCCAACCAAAAAAUCAAUUACUAGCAAGUUAUUCUCUAUGUAAACCUUAUUUAAUUAGAUUAUCCAUAUUGAAACCCUAAAGAAUCGAAGUUUAGGGGAAAUCCAAAAAGUACAAUAGUUAUAAACCUUAGAAAGAGCUGAAGCUUCUCCAUGGUGCAGGACGUAGGGCAACGAGCCUAUUGGAGCAUUCUUUUACUCCAAAAUCGGCGAAGAUAUUGCAGAUUUUCUGAAACUAAAAUAGAUUCAAAAUACAAAUCUCAAAACUUUUUACAAACAAUUUGAAGUUGAGAAAAAAAAAAUCAGUUGAUUUAUAGAUUGAAAAUGCAUGAAAAUGAGGAAAAGAGAACUCAUUUUUGAAGCUUUCGAUGUCUAAAUUAAGGAGCAAUUGUUAAAUAGAGAGAAAUUGGGAAGUAAGAGAGGAGAAGAGAAGUAUGAACCAACGAUACCGCCAAUCGCCACCGCCGCCUCCAUCUUUUCCUACUCCGACCACUGUUAUUGUGGAUGAAGACAGUGAUAGCUCCGCCACCAUGGAUUCGCCACCGUGCCGCCUCCAUCACUUCCUACUCCAACCCUAAUUAUCAUAUGAAAAUUGAUCAGUUCGGGAUCGCAGAAAAUAGAAUGAAACUUUUUUUUAUUUGGGGAUUAAAUGAGCAACGAUAUAAAAUUUUAUUUUUUAGGAUAGCGGCGGGUAAUAACCCCACAAAUUCUACUAAAAUUAUAGGGGUUAAUCAAACCUCCGUAAUUUGAUGUAAUUUGUGGGGGUUGAGUUAACCUCCAUUAUAAAACCUCUAGGAUUUAAGUGUUUUUUUGUAGUGGAU